RNAcentral lists this ribosomal RNA (302 nucleotides) under Candidatus Mediterraneibacter excrementipullorum. Its description in RNAcentral is "partial 23S ribosomal RNA". It matches the Rfam family "Bacterial large subunit ribosomal RNA", at positions 2621 to 2925 of the family's 2925-position model. The record is from RNAcentral. Lineage: Bacteria; Bacillati; Bacillota; Clostridia; Lachnospirales; Lachnospiraceae.
GUGAGACAGUUCGGUCCCUAUCCGGCGUGGGCGUAGGAUAUUUGAGAGGAGCUGUCCUUAGUACGAGAGGACCGGGAUGGACUGACCGCUGGUGGAUCUGUUGUGAACCAAUCGCAUGGCAGAGUAGCCAAGUCAGGACGGGAUAAACGCUGAAGGCAUCUAAGCGUGAAGCCCCCCUUAAGAUAAGACUUCCCAUUCGAAAGAAGUAAGACCCCUUGAAGACGACGAGGUAGAUAGGGCAGAGGUGGAAGUGCGGUAACGCAUGGAGCUGACUGUUACUAAUCGGUCGAGGGCUUGACCUU